Molecule: ribosomal RNA, 497 nt
Filed under: uncultured bacterium
Lineage: Bacteria
Description: partial 16S ribosomal RNA
Rfam family: Bacterial small subunit ribosomal RNA
Source: RNAcentral
GACGAACGCUGGCGGCGUGCCUAAUACAUGCAAGUAGAACGCUGAAGCGAUAAGCGUACUCUUCUUCGAUGAGUUGCUAACGGGUGAGUAACGCGUAGGUAACCUGCCUUUUAUCGGUGGAGAACUAUUUGGAACGAUAGCUAAUACCGCAUAACAAUGGAUGAGACAUGUCAUUUAUUUUAAUCGGACCAUGGCUCCACUACAAGAUGGACCUGCGUUGUACUAGCUAGUAGGUGAGGUAAUGGCCCACCUAGGCGACGAUACAUAGCCUACCUGAGAGGGUGAUCGGCAACACAGGGACUGAGAGACAGGGCAGACUCCUACGCGAGGCAGCAGUAGGGAAUAUACGGCAAUGGGGGCAAACGUGACCGCGAAACGCAGCGUGAGUGAAGAAGGUUUUCGGAUCGUGAAGAUCUGUUGUGAGUCAAGAGAGGAUGUGAGGGUGGAAAGCUCACUCUGUGGAGGUAGCUUAACAGAAAGGCACCGCUAAAUACGUG